GAGCGGCAGCUGUCAGGCCACCGAGGUCCAAGCCGCACUUGCUGCCCCAUUGAGGACGAGGAGGCAGCAGGAGCAGUGACGGUGACUCUAAGGAGCCGGAUUCCCGGCACGCAGAGCUGACCUGCCUGGCACCCGCGGCCCUCUCCUGUUUCCUUCCCAUUGUGUUGGACAAUAAAACUGAUGCUGGACGUGCUGGCUCAAGCUUAUAAUCCCAGCACUUUGGGAGGCCAAGGCAGGCAGAUCACAAGAUGAGGAGAUCGAGACCAUCCUGGCCAACACGAUAAGCCAGCUGCAGAAUAUAUCCUGAGGUACCUGCUUUAUGGAAUUAUUCACACUAUUCACCAACAGGAAGAAUAAAGUCAAUCAAUUCAAGGAGUCUCAGAACAGGAGCACAUAGACACCAAACUUUGUGGGACAACAAAUAUAAUGAAGAGUAUGUUUGCGUCUUUCAAACAAAGCCACGUGAAGUCAAGGCCCUUAACACCCACCCCUCCCACAUACUGAGGGGAGAAUUCAGAUGCCCACUGGAGUCAGCCGAUCAGACUGCCUUUUGCACACUCCUUGCCUCCACUCCAGUUUACCGUGGAAGACCUGUCUGCUAUGGCUGAAUCUGAGAGAGAUCCUUGAGUAACGAAUUAAGGAAUGAACAAAUGUUGCUCUGGACAAAGCUGCAGCUUCCACGUCCUGCAUAACUGCACUCAGUACUGACCCUGAAGAUAGGAAAAGCAAUACAACUGGUGCUAGAAAUGUUAUGAGAAUGACUUGGAUGAGCUGAAAAAUGAAUGAUCUCCUUGAACAAGGCUUGCCUGGAAUUUCGCUUUGCUGCAGAGACAUCUGGAAAUGUGGAUUGAGGGUGGAAAUAAAAUGAAGAUGUCCUGGAAACUUCCAACUGAUCCUUGGGUCUAAUUGGUGUGGGAUAUGCAGCACAAGCGUGAGAAGCCAUGAAGUGAGAGCCCCAACAGGGGCUCAGAGUCAAAAACCUAGAUAUUAGCUCCCAAAGUCCUUCCGAAUCUGCUCCAGCUCCCCACAUCACUCCUAGCUGCCCUUGGCCCUCUCCACCUUUCCCCUCCCGAUUCCUUGGAAAAUAAGCGUUCCUCCCCCACCCCCACCCCCAGCUCUACGAACACAAUAGAGAAGAAAAAAUUGUCUUUUAAGAUAAUUUCCUCCAAAUCCUUCUCAGUUUCAACUGCAUGAAGACAAAAUGCAGGCUGUCAAUUCGAUGAACAGAUUGUGAUUAGGCUGGGGGAGGCUAGAAUUGUAAUAAUUUUAUAGCUACAAUAAUAAAGACCCAGAAGUGGGCAAGACCUAUGCAAGUUCACAGACUAGGUUAAAGAAAAGGCCAGCGUUGAAGAUGUGGGUGAUUUCCAAGAAGGAUAAUCGACUUCGAGACAAGUCAAGAACACGAUCUGGGAAUCAGGUAGUCAGUAUUCUAUCCUGAGAGUGUAAUAUCUUCAUCAGAGAGCUUAAGCCAGGCAGACAAGAGGCAGGGAGUGGGUUAGAGUGAAGCAGCAGGUGGCAGUGAGGGUGGAGAGAAGAAACGAAAUAUAGUCCUUGCCACAGAGAAAGAAGCGGUAAGACAAAAAUGGCUAAGCAGCAAAAACAGGGAAAUACUAUAUAAAACCUGCCUUAGCAAUAAGCUAUUUCUAAAGACUGUGAAGGUAUUUAAAUGCCCACUGCUAGAUGGGAUCAGCCUGGGAAGGUUUUCUAGAACAGGUGAAUCUUAAACAGUGUCUGUCUGGGCUCCUUGUCAGUCCUGUCUCCCUUCACAGCUCCCUUGACCUAGAGGCCGGUGUCCUCCCAUGGAUGGCCUUUAAAACAACUGGCUGGCAUAUAAUAAGAGGGGCACCUGUUGGAAGACUCCGGAGAAGGAAGGUAUGGUCUCCUGGAACUUUUCCUGUGAUUUUGCCUUGGGAGAGGAGAGAAGAGGAGGGAGAUACUGAGCAGAGACUAGUACCUUCCUGGGGUGGGAGAAAGGCAAGAUUGUGUCUUACAGUUUUCUCUUUGGGCUGUGACUUUGGACAUGUUACUGGCUUGGGCUCUGCUGUUAGGAAAUGGACGAGUCUUUGGCAGAUGCCCCUGUGGGCCCACUGGGGCCAAAUCCUGCACCGUUUGAGGCUUGCUUAGAGUACUAGAACUCUAGAUCCUUUGCUCUUGUAUCAGCCCCAAGAAAAAAGGAUCUCUGGAAAUGCUGCCCCUUGCAAAACGGUAUAAUAGUAGCUUUCCAGAGCAGACGAGACUAAGGCCAUGUGACUGAUGGAAAAGGGUCCUAGAGCCCCUCGCCCUCCCCAGCCCUGCUCGCCAGCCACAGACUAUGCCUGCUUUGGAAGCUCAACUGUAGGAUUGAGCCAGCAAUAAACUUCUGGAUGGUCACUGUCGGAAUGGCCCUGGAGAAGGGGGAGGACCAAGAGCAAGAAAUCGCCAAAUGUGUCUCCUCAGCUCAUCAGAUGGCAGGAGUGAGCCCAAACUUUGGGAGUUCAGAUUUAGAGGAUGAGGCAAAUGAUCCUUCACAGCUCGAAUAGAUGAGACAGCUCUCCACACAGGGGACAUCACUCAGACUGAGCCCUCUCACAAAGCUUCCCCUGAGUUCUCAGCAGCAGCUCUGGGGACAGCAACUCUACUGGAAAGAAAAUAUGUGUUCCCAAUAAACCCACAGAUACCAAUUUAUCAACCACAUUCCCUUAACACACAUUUCUCUUCUCCUUUCUUCCAUCUCCAUUGCCUUAAUAUUCAUUCUAUCCUCUCCCCAAGUCUCAAUCUCUUUGUCUCUGUUACCUGUCUCUGUCUCUGUUUCUCUCUAUGUGUCUGUCUCUGUUUCCUUUUUCUCUCUCCACAUUCCCUGUCUUCGCCUUGUUCUUAUGCUUGUUCUUAUGCCCAGGGCCAGAAAAGGGACCCAGCCAGGUGACCGUGUCUCACUCAUCCCAGUGCCUUAAGGUUCCCAACUCCCUAGAAUCUAGUGUGUUCUCAUUGCUCUGUACAUCCCGACACUCUGCCUCAGUACCUCGUCAGCAGACCUUUCCUGAGGGCUCCCUACAGACCUCAUAGGGUAUCUUCCCAGGUCCUCCAGAGCCCAUUUUUAUCUACAUACCCCCACCUAUUUCUGUGAUUCUGCUUCCAUUGGUUCUGCUGGGUGCCCUUGGCAAAAUAUUCUUGAGUCCAGCUAGGCUCCUGCACUGCCAAGGGAUUCCUCAAGAGGCACUGCCAGCCUUCUUGGUGCAGCCUGCUGCCUGUACUGGGUGCCUGUGGGAACAAUGCAGGAUUGUAUAAAACUCGUAAACAGUUUGCUUCAUGCAAUUCUGAUGGUACCUCAGAGAAUCUGGGCCCCCUUGAUCAUGGCUUGGUUUGACUGUGCAGCUUUCUUGCAAAUAACUCGAAAACACUUGAAUAUUACCUCCACUCUCUGCUCUAUGAUCCCAUAGUAUCAGAUUAUUGAAGGCCACAGAUCAAGUGGGUUCUCCUUGCUUCAUUGUGUAGACUGAACUCUAAAACUCAGAGAAGUCCAGUGAAUUUCUCCCAGGAAAAACUAGAUAAGGGAUCAAGUGCCCAAUCUAGUGGCCAACUUCUCCCUGAGCACAGAGAAGAACAUAAAGGGGAAGAGAGAAGCGCGUACCAGUGAAAGCCUGGGUCAUCUGCUAUUAUUUGGGCUUCUAGAGCUGAGGCUUUGCUUCUCAUUCCCAGGAUAAUGUCUUCCCAGACCAAAUUUUGGAAGGCAGCUUUCCUAGCCCUGGCAUAGAAGACUGGCUGGCUGGCAGGCAGGCAGUAUAUUAUGUCCUAUGUACUGUGGCUAGAACUUUCCACACCCAACUUCAUGCCGAUUGGCUAGACUAUGCCUUUCUGGCCAAGAGAACCGAGGGCUGAGGGCCAGAGAUGUCACAUACUUUGAGCUGGCAGACAGGGGUAGAGAGUGGAGGGUGAUCUUCUGCCUUUCCUGAAGGUUCAAGGAACAAUGGGAGGAUGGAUAGGGGCAGGCCAUGGGGUGUAUUUGUGAGGGGGAGAUGCCCGUGGCUUGGGAUGGAGUAAAGAGUAGCCUGGAAGCCAAAAUAAUCACAUGAAAAAUCUCAGCUAAAGAAUGCCUGAGGAGCACCACAUAGCUACUAGCAAUGUGAAGAAACAAGCUGUCCACAGAACCCACCUCCACCAACAUAAAAACUUGGCCAGCUUUUGCAGGGUUGCCCCUGCAGGGAGGAUGCUUGUUUGAUGUGAUUUCUGAGCAAAGUAGAAAUAAAACUAGUAUUAUUUCUGGGGAACCAA
This 4248-nucleotide long non-coding RNA is filed under the name Homo sapiens (human). RNAcentral describes it as "novel transcript". The record is from RNAcentral. Lineage: Eukaryota; Metazoa; Chordata; Mammalia; Primates; Hominidae.